GAUCCUGGCUCAGAUUGAACGCUGGCGGCAGGCCUAAUACAUGCAAGUCGGAGGUAACAUAGAAAGCUUGCUUUCUUGAUGACGAGUGGCGGACGGGUGAGUAAGAUUUGGGAAGCUACCUGAUAGAGGGGGACAACAGUUGGAAACGACUGCUAAUACCGCAUACAGCCUUAGGGUGAAAGAAGAAAUUCGCUAUCAGAUGUGCCCAAACGGGAUUAGCUAGUAGGUGAGGUAAAGGCUCACCUAGGCGACGAUCUCUAGCUGGUCUGAGAGGAUGAUCAGCCACAUUGGGACUGAGACACGGCCCAUACUCCUACGGGAGGCAGCAGUAGGGAAUUUUGCGCAAUGGGCGAAAGCCUGACGCAGCAACGCCGCGUGAUUGAUGACGCUCUUCGGAGUGUAAAGAUCUGUCAGUAGGGAAGAACAAUGACUGUACCUACAGAGGAAGCACCGGCUAACUCCGUG
This 465-nucleotide ribosomal RNA is filed under the name uncultured bacterium. Its description in RNAcentral is "bacterial SSU rRNA". It matches the Rfam family "Bacterial small subunit ribosomal RNA", at positions 15 to 507 of the family's 1533-position model. The record is from RNAcentral.